GGGCGCGAGCGUUGUCCGGAUUUAUUGGGCGUAAAGAGCUCGUAGGCGGCUUGUCGCGUCGACUGUGAAAACCCGUGGCUCAACCAUGUGGUCUGCAGUCGAUACGGGCAGGCUAGAAUUCGGUAGGGGAGACUGGAAUUCCUGGUGUAGCGGUGAAAUGCGCAGAUAUCAGGAGGAACACCGGUGGCGAAGGCGGGUCUCUGGGCCGAUAUUGACGCUGAGGAGCGAAAGCGUGGGGAGCGAACAGG
RNAcentral lists this ribosomal RNA (248 nucleotides) under uncultured bacterium. RNAcentral describes it as "partial 16S ribosomal RNA". It matches the Rfam family "Bacterial small subunit ribosomal RNA", at positions 530 to 776 of the family's 1533-position model. The record is from RNAcentral.